This 253-nucleotide ribosomal RNA is filed under the name uncultured bacterium. Its description in RNAcentral is "partial 16S ribosomal RNA". It matches the Rfam family "Bacterial small subunit ribosomal RNA", at positions 524 to 776 of the family's 1533-position model. The record is from RNAcentral.
GACGGAGGAUGCAAGUGUUAUCCGGAAUCACUGGGCGUAAAGCGUCUGUAGGUGGUUCGAAAAGUCCACUGUUAAAAAUUGAGGCUUAACUUCAAAGAUGCCGUGGAAACUUUCAAACUAGAGUAUGGUAGGGGUAGAGGGAAUUUCCAGUGGAGCGGUGAAAUGCGUAGAUAUUGGAAGGAACACCGGUGGCGAAAGCGGCGCGCUGGAUCCCUACUGACGCUGAGGCACGAAAGCCAGGGGAGCAAACGGG